This 697-nucleotide ribosomal RNA is filed under the name bacterium A10. Its description in RNAcentral is "bacterial SSU rRNA". It matches the Rfam family "Bacterial small subunit ribosomal RNA", at positions 1 to 706 of the family's 1533-position model. The record is from RNAcentral.
UUUACCGGGGCGCCCAAAGAGAGAGAUUGAGCGUCAGUCGGGUCUUGUACCUGGUGGCGAGCGGCGGACGGGUGAGUAAUGCCUAGGAAUCUAGCCUGGUAGUGGGGGAUAACGCUCGGAAACGGACGCUAAUACCGCAUACGUCCUACGGGAGAAAGCAGGGGACCUUCGGGCCUUGCGCUAUCAGAUGAGCCUAGGUCGGAUUAGCUAGUUGGUGAGGUAAUGGCUCACCAAGGCGACGAUCCGUAACUGGUCUGAGAGGAUGAUCAGUCACACUGGAACUGAGACACGGUCCAGACUCCUACGGGAGGCAGCAGUGGGGAAUAUUGGACAAUGGGCGAAAGCCUGAUCCAGCCAUGCCGCGUGUGUGAAGAAGGUCUUCGGAUUGUAAAGCACUUUAAGUUGGGAGGAAGGGCAGUUACCUAAUACGUAUCUGUUUUGACGUUACCGACAGAAUAAGCACCGGCUAACUCUGUGCCAGCAGCCGCGGUAAUACAGAGGGGUGCAAGCGUUAAUCGGAAUUACUGGGCGUAAAAGCGCGCGUANGUGGGUUCGUUAAAGUUUGGAUGUGAAAUCCCCGGGCUCAACCUGGGAACUGCAUUUCAAAACUGACCNACUUAGAAGUAUGGUAANAAGGGUGGGUGGGAAUUUCCCUGUUGUAAGCCGGGGGAAAUUGCCUUAAAUUNUAGGGAAAGGA